This 497-nucleotide ribosomal RNA is filed under the name uncultured bacterium. RNAcentral's name for it is "partial 16S ribosomal RNA". It matches the Rfam family "Bacterial small subunit ribosomal RNA", at positions 28 to 507 of the family's 1533-position model. The record is from RNAcentral.
GAUGAACGCUGGCGGCGUGCCUAAUACAUGCAAGUCGAGCGAACAGACGAGGAGCUUGCUCCUCUGACGUUAGCGGCGGACGGGUGAGUAACACGUGGAUAACCUACCUAUAAGACUGGGAUAACUUCGGGAAACCGGAGCUAAUACCGGAUAACAUGUUGAACCGCAUGGUUCAACAGUGAAAGACGGUCUUGCUGUCACUUAUAGAUGGAUCCGCGCCGCAUUAGCUAGUUGGUAAGGUAACGGCUUACCAAGGCAACGAUGCGUAGCCGACCUGAGAGGGUGAUCGGCCACACUGGAACUGAGACACGUUCCAGACUCCUACGGGAGGCAGCAGUAGGGAAUCUUCCGCAAUGGGCGAAAGCCUGACGGGGCAACGCCGCGUGAGUGAAGAAGGUCUUCGGAUCGUAAAACUCUGUUAUUAGGGAAGAACAAAUGUGUAAGUAACUAUGCACGUCUUGACGGUACCUAAUCAGAAAGCCACGGCUAACUACGUG